This 87-nucleotide transfer RNA is filed under the name Piscinibacter aquaticus. RNAcentral describes it as "tRNA-Leu". It matches the Rfam family "tRNA". Rfam says of the family: Transfer RNA (tRNA) molecules are approximately 80 nucleotides in length. RNAcentral also lists the same sequence under 2 other names. Lineage: Bacteria; Pseudomonadati; Pseudomonadota; Betaproteobacteria; Burkholderiales; Sphaerotilaceae. The record is from RNAcentral.
GCCGGAGUGGCGAAAUCGGUAGACGCAGCAGACUCAAAAUCUGCCGAGGGCAACCUCGUACCGGUUCGAUUCCGGUCUCCGGCACCA